This 479-nucleotide ribosomal RNA is filed under the name uncultured anaerobic ammonium-oxidizing bacterium. Its description in RNAcentral is "bacterial SSU rRNA". It matches the Rfam family "Bacterial small subunit ribosomal RNA", at positions 364 to 833 of the family's 1533-position model. The record is from RNAcentral.
UUUCGCAAUGCCCGAAAGGGUGACGAAGCGACGCCGCGUGGGUGAGGAAGGCCUUCGGGUUGUAAAGCCCUGUCAGGAGUUAUGAAAUGUAGGUGCGCUAAUAUCGUGCUUAUUUGACAAAGGCUCCAAAGGAAGCCACGGCUAACUCUGUGCCAGCAGCCGCGGUAAUACGGAGGUGGCGAGCGUUGUUCGGAAUUAUUGGGCGUAAAGAGCACGUAGGUGGGUUUGCAAGUCAGAUGUGAAAGCCUUCUGUUCAACGGAAGAAUUGCAUCUGAAACUGCUAAUCUUGAGUAUAGGAGGGGAGAAUGGAACUUCUGGUGGAGCGGUGAAAUGCGUAGAUAUCAGAAGGAACGCCGGCGGCGAAAGCGAUUCUCUGGCCUAUUACUGACACUCAGUGUGCGAAAGCUAGGGGAGCAAACGGGAUUAGAUACCCCGGUAGUCCUAGCCGUAAACGAUGGGCACUAAGUAGAGGGGUUUUA